This 398-nucleotide ribosomal RNA is filed under the name uncultured bacterium. Its description in RNAcentral is "partial 16S ribosomal RNA". It matches the Rfam family "Bacterial small subunit ribosomal RNA", at positions 523 to 918 of the family's 1533-position model. The record is from RNAcentral.
AUACGUAGGGUGCGAGCGUUGUCCGGAAUUACUGGGCGUAAAGAGCUCGUAGGUGGUUUGUCGCGUCGUCUGUGAAAUUCCGGGGCUUAACUCCGGGCGUGCAGGCGAUACGGGCAUAACUUGAGUACUGUAGGGGAGACUGGAAUUCCUGGUGUAGCGGUGAAAUGCGCAGAUAUCAGGAGGAACACCAGUGGCGAAGGGGGGUCUCUGGGCAGUAACAGACGCUGAGGAGCGAGAGCAUGGGUGGCGACCAGGGUUAGAUACCCUGGUAGUCCAUGCCGUAAACGGUGGGCGAUAGGUGUAGGGGUCUUCCACGACUUCUGUGCCGUAGCUAACGCAUUAAGCGCCCCGCCUGGGGAGUACGGCCGCAAGGCUAAAACUCAAAUGAAUUGACGGGG